Molecule: ribosomal RNA, 630 nt
Filed under: Salmonella enterica subsp. enterica serovar Dublin
Lineage: Bacteria; Pseudomonadati; Pseudomonadota; Gammaproteobacteria; Enterobacterales; Enterobacteriaceae
Description: partial 23S ribosomal RNA
Rfam family: Bacterial large subunit ribosomal RNA
Source: RNAcentral
ACCGCAAAAGAAGCAGAGGGGGCUUAGUGGUGGGGUGACUGCGUACCUUUUGUAUAAUGGGUCAGCGACUUAUAUUCUGUAGCAAGGUUAACCGAAUAGGGGAGCCGGAGGGAAACCGAGUCUUAACCGGGCGUUAAGUUGCAGGGUAUAGACCCGAAACCCGGUGAUCUAGCCAUGGGCAGGUUGAAGGUUGGGUAACACUAACUGGAGGACCGAACCGACUAAUGUUGAAAAAUUAGCGGAUGACCUGUGGCUGGGGGUGAAAGGCCAAUCAAACCGGGAGAUAGCUGGUUCUCCCCGAAAGCUAUUUAGGUAGCGCCUCGUGAAUUCAUCUCCGGGGGUAGAGCACUGUUUCGGCUAGGGGGCCAUCCCGGCUUACCAACCCGAUGCAAACUGCGAAUACCGGAGAAUGUUAUCACGGGAGACACACGGCGGGUGCUAACGUCCGUCGUGAAGAGGGAAACAACCCAGACCGCCAGCUAAGGUCCCAAAGUCAUGGUUAAGUGGGAAACGAUGUGGGAAGGCCCAGACAGCCAGGAUGUUGGCUUAGAAGCAGCCAUCAUUUAAAGAAAGCGUAAUAGCUCACUGGUCGAGUCGGCCUGCGCGGAAGAUGUAACGGGGCUAAACCAU